Mytilus trossulus (common blue mussel) is the source of this 1580-nucleotide long non-coding RNA. RefSeq lists it as uncharacterized. The transcript is spliced from 2 exons. The record is from RefSeq and is a predicted model, not a curated record. NCBI's taxonomy places the organism in Eukaryota, Metazoa, Mollusca, Bivalvia, Mytilida, Mytilidae.
UGUCGUAAACAUUAAAACCUUGGUUAUGUUUUUUUACAACAAACCUUGACAGAUUUCUCUGGAAAUUUUUCAACCUUGGUCUUGUCAUAUAUAAAUUCUAUGGUUCUUUGUUGACCGCUAUUAGAAAGAAAACACGUUAUUUGUAGAGACGUACGUAAUAUAAGAAAAUUCAUUUAAAAUAAUUUGUGAAUUUUAUAUUACAUAUAAAGGGAGAUUUAUUUUUAUUAACGAGUUAAAAUCGUUCAUUGAUCUGACUGGGACGUUAUAUUUAAUCAUUUGUUUUCCUCAUUUGUCAAAAAGGAAGGAUAUUUUUCAAGUUUUCGUUGAUCUUUUCUAUUAGAAGAAGAUUUCAUUGAAAUUAUACUCAGUUCGUAAAAAAAUGAUUUAAUAGUCAUAGAGAAAACUUUCGAAGAGAGAAAAAAUAGUGUGAAAUUUUGAAAGUGUGAAACAAUUUCUUUGGAACCAAUUUGAAGUUCUGAGUAUAAGAGACUAGAAGAAUAUUUUAGCAAAUAUAUUUUUAAGAAACACUGUCACAACACAUAAACAAGUUGGAUUAGAGUUGUCUAUAUAGAUUGUGUUCCUAAGAAAUGCUAAUGAACAAUAGAACUGGGCACGCUUUUCCCCUGUAUUAUCCAGGACCACGGGUGUAUCAACAUCGGCCAUGUUAUCAAGGACCAGAUUGCACGUGUCCACCAGCAAGGGCACCUGAUACAUUUCUUCAUCAGAUAUUGACGGGAAAAGGAUAUAAAAAUGACUGUCUGUUUGUUAAUCGACCAAUCAAACAGGAAGUUUAUCAAGAUUAUAGCUGUUGCUAUGGUAAUGGAUAUCCUCCAUCAUAUCCAUAUUCCCAUCAAUAAAAGGAAACUUUUCCAGGACCAGAUUCAGACCAGAUAAAAAAAUUGCAAGAUUUGGAGAAUAAUAUUUGAAUUGCAAAAAAUUGUACUGUUUGGGAGGUGUCUAUCUAUUUCUUUAUUUUGUUUUCGUCAAUCAAUUUUUUUUUAUGAAAAGGGUUACCUCAUAUGAAUAGGUGUGCAUCGGCACUCAUCAUUUCACAACGGACCUAUGUCAUUGACCAUCUUCUAGGGCUACUCGUGUGUGAAUAUUUACAUGCAAAUCUUAACUAUAUUAAGUGCCAUAGUCAUCAACUAUUUGUGUUCAUUUUUUUUUUAAAAUAUAAACAAAAUCAGAUUCAAAUGAACGAAUGUAUGAAAAACACAGAAAAAACAAAACUUUCAUUAGAAAAUUAUGACUCUAGACUGAGUGUUGAAAUCUUGUUUUUUUCAAACCCAUUUCAGUUUUGUUUUAAUCCAGGAAGAUUUGUAAAAGUGAUUUGUUGCGAAAAUCCGUUUACUGAAUAAAAAAGAUAGAAAUUAAAGCUGGUUAAUGCUCUUGUAUUGUAAUAUUGGAUCUCUUAUGUUCGCGUUUUUUAAUAAAAAAAUAUUUCUGGAAUCAAAGACCAUCAUAUAUUUCGAUGGAGAAAAAUCGUUAAGGUACAGUUUUUUACCUGGUGCCUUGGAAAUUAUAUAAUUGCACAUGUACACCAGUUUACAUAUCUAAAUUAUGUUAUUAAAUAUAUUUAU